RNAcentral lists this ribosomal RNA (466 nucleotides) under uncultured bacterium. RNAcentral describes it as "partial 16S ribosomal RNA". It matches the Rfam family "Bacterial small subunit ribosomal RNA", at positions 28 to 507 of the family's 1533-position model. The record is from RNAcentral.
GAUGAACGCUGGCGGCGUGCUUAACACAUGCAAGUCGAACGAUGAAGCCCAGCUUGCUGGGUGGAUUAGUGGCGAACGGGUGAGUAACACGUGAGUAACCUGCCCUUAACUCUGGGAUAAGCCUGGGAAACUGGGUCUAAUACCGGAUAGGAGCGUCCACCGCAUGGUGGGUGUUGGAAAGAUUUAUCGGUUUUGGAUGGACUCGCGGCCUAUCAGCUUGUUGGUGAGGUAAUGGCUCACCAAGGCGACGACGGGUAGCCGGCCUGAGAGGGUGACCGGCCACACUGGGACUGAGACACGGCCCAGACUCCUACGUGAGGCAGCAGUGGGGAAUAUUGCACAAUGGGCGCAAGCCUGAUGCAGCGACGCCGCGUGAGGGAUGACGGCCUUCGGGUUGUAAACCUCUUUCAGUAGGGAAGAAGCGAAAGUGACGGUACCUGCAGAAGAAGCACCGGCUAACUACGUG